GGCGAACCGUCCAAACGUUGUUCGGAAUCACUGGGCUUAAAGGGCGCGUAGGCGGGCUAUCAAGUCCGGGGUGAAAUCCUCCAGCUUAACUGGAGAACGGCCUCGGAUACUGAUGGUCUCGAGGGAGAUAGGGGCACGCGGAACUGUGGGUGGAGCGGUGAAAUGCGUUGAUAUCCAUAGGAACUCCGGUGGCGAAGGCGGCGUGCUGGAUCUCUUCUGACGCUGAGGCGCGAAAGCCAGGGGAGCAAACGGG
This 253-nucleotide ribosomal RNA is filed under the name uncultured bacterium. RNAcentral describes it as "partial 16S ribosomal RNA". It matches the Rfam family "Bacterial small subunit ribosomal RNA", at positions 524 to 776 of the family's 1533-position model. The record is from RNAcentral.